AUGCACUUUCUUCCCCGUCUUUCACUCUUCUUCCUCCUCUCUUCUUCUUCCUCCUCUCUUCUUCUUCCUCCUCUCUUCCCCAUCGCCGGCCGCACACCAUUUCCCCCCGCUCACUGCUCGCCCGCCCGCGCCAUCUUCCUUGGUAGCUCCAGACGAAAAUGCGUUGGCCUUCAUGAUUCCAGGACCUGGAAUCAUACCAGCCGAUGGUACCAUAUAACUGGAAUUAACCGAUGCAACUCCAAGAAGGAUUGGCCAGUGCUGCCGCCUGGUGUCAAGUUCGAUCCCACGGAUCAGGAGCUGAUCAAGCACCUUGAGGCCAAAGUGAGUGCUGACAGCGCGAGAUCUCACCCUCUCAUCGAUUUGUUCAUACCAACCAUCGACAGCGAGCAUGGCAUAUGCUACACCCAUCCUGAGAAACUUCCAGGUGUCACACUGAGUGGCCUAAGCAAGCAUUUCUUCCAGCGUAAUUCCAAGGCGUUCAAAAGGGGCACGUGGACGCAUCACAAGAUACAGUCAAAGUGCGGCAUGCACGCGAUGUGGCACAAGACCGGCAACACCAUGCCGGUGAUGGUCAAUGGCCGGCAGACGGGCAGCAAAAAGAACUUUGACCAGCAAAGGACCAACUGGGUGAUGCACCAGUACCACCUCGGGGACCUGGAGAAAGAGAAGGAGCGGGAGCUGGCCCUCUGCAAGAUUUUCUAG
This 702-nucleotide ribosomal RNA is filed under the name Triticum aestivum (bread wheat). RNAcentral describes it as "partial small subunit ribosomal RNA". The record is from RNAcentral. Lineage: Eukaryota; Viridiplantae; Streptophyta; Magnoliopsida; Poales; Poaceae.